Long non-coding RNA from Oryzias melastigma (Indian medaka), 762 nucleotides. RefSeq lists it as uncharacterized. The record is from RefSeq and is a predicted model, not a curated record. NCBI's taxonomy places the organism in Eukaryota, Metazoa, Chordata, Actinopteri, Beloniformes, Adrianichthyidae. The transcript has 3 exons.
CGUUCAACCAGGAGGUUUUCUCACGAUACCAAAGUCCUGUAUAUAAAAUACAUCAAAAUAUUUACAAGACUUCAAAAAUAGAAUAAAAUAGCAUAACAUUUUCUAAAUGGACUCACACAGCUGACACAAACAGCAGUCGUCUUGGCCACCCACAAGAAUCUGACACUGGCUGGUAGCUCCGCCCCUUCCUAUUUAACAGGCCUUAAUGCCAGAGCCACACCCCACAGGUGUCACCCAUCACAUACGUUUGCCCAACAGGCUUUUAUUGUUUUCACCCUCUUUAUCCCAGGACACCAGUCUGUUGUCGGACACACAUUUACACCUGGAGCAAUUUAUCCCCAAUCAACCUAUGAAGAAAACCUACAUGUGCACGAGAAGUACAUGUGGAGCCACACGGAAAAGUUCCUGCUGGGAUUAGAACCAGCACCUUAUCGCUGUCAGACUGCUGGACAACAUCGAGAGCUUUGCAGAGAAAGAGUCCAGGUUUAAGCCGGUCCAGAUCUUUCAGCACCUGAGAACACUUGGCUGCAUCACGAGACGGAAGACGAAAGCAGCUGGAGGCUCAAACAUUUCUCUGCAGAGCUCCUGCAGGUUUUGUGGAAAGAUCUUCAACCUGUAGGGAGGUCAUUUAAUCAGACGGCUGUCUUCGUCCCGGCCGGAUUUGAUGGCUGAAGUUCAUCUGGGAGGAAAGGUGACGGAGUUGGUGGAUCAUUAAGGGAUAAAUGACAGAAAAGUGAGAUUUUUAAAGUAAAACAGGAAACA